AGAGUUUGAUCAUGGCUCAGAACGAACGCUGGCGGCAUGCCUAACACAUGCAAGUCGAACGAAGUCUUCGGACUUAGUGGCGCACGGGUGCGUAACGCGUGGGAAUCUGCCCUUGGGUGCGGAAUAACUUCUCGAAAGGGAAACUCUGGCUAAUACCGUAUACGUCCUUCGGGAGAAAGAUUUAUCGCUGAAAGAUGGGCCCGCGUCCGAUUAGCUUGUUGGCGGUGUAAUGGACCACCAAGGCGACGAUCGGUAGCUGGUCUUAGAGGAUGAUCAGCCACACUGGGACUGAGACACGGCCCAGACUCCUACGGGAGGCAGCAGUGGGGAAUAUUGGACAAUGGGCGAAAGCCUGAUCCAGCAAUGCCGCGUGAGUGAUGAAGGCCUUAGGGUUGUAAAGCUCUUUUACCAGGGAAGAUGAUGACUGUACCUGGAGAAUAAGCCCCGGCUAACUCCGUG
This 459-nucleotide ribosomal RNA is filed under the name uncultured bacterium. RNAcentral's name for it is "bacterial SSU rRNA". It matches the Rfam family "Bacterial small subunit ribosomal RNA", at positions 8 to 507 of the family's 1533-position model. The record is from RNAcentral.